Molecule: ribosomal RNA, 253 nt
Filed under: uncultured bacterium
Lineage: Bacteria
Description: partial 16S ribosomal RNA
Rfam family: Bacterial small subunit ribosomal RNA
Source: RNAcentral
UACGUAGGUGGCAAGCGUUAUCCGGAAUUAUUGGGCGUAAAGCGCGCGCAGGCGGUUUUUUAAGGCUGAUGUGAAAGCCCACGGCUCAACCGUGGAGGGUCAUUGGAAACUGGGGGACUUGAGUACAGAAGAGAAGAGUGGAAUUCCACGUGUAGCGGUGAAAUGCGUAGAGAUGUGGAGGAACACCAGUGGCGAAGGCGACUCUUUGGUCUGUAACUGACGCUGAGGCGCGAAAGCGUGGGGAGCAAACAGG